CUGAAUUUCCAAUCGUUUCCCCAAAAUAUUUAGUUUUUUCCAUCCUCUUCAUUAAAAAUAUCUCAUGUCCUUGAGCUGCACCUCAUGAAGGAGGAACGAGAGUGUCCCUGUUUCUCCUGACACUUCUUAUGGACUGUGUAUCAAGGAACCACCCCUGGGGACCAUCGGGCCUCACACCCUUCUGGAAAACUGACUCUGAUGAACCAAAUUCGAGGUGAGAAGGAGACAAGAGCAGUAACCACAUGAAAAUUACGUGGUUUGUGUUUAAAUCAAGACACCAAAAUCAAAGGCGGCAUGUGACAGACCCUACAUUGUUGCCAGAAUUUACAAAACUGGCCUCUUUUGCCAGGCUGAGAAUCCACAGAGGCUGGCCAGAGAGAAGUCUGAGGAGCAGCCAGGAGCCUCUCCAGUUGUGAUGUGGAAUUUGCAAGAGGAUCCUGGGCCAGGGUCCACAGAAUUGCGUGUGUCCUGCACCAGGCCGUGUCAGCACACCAUGUUUCCUAGCUCUCUGGGAACCCAAACAAAGAAGAGACACCCAUGGCAACCUGAUUGCCAAGCUGUGCCUCCCUCUCAGCCCCCCAGAUCUGGUGUCAUCUUUACAGGCAAAUGAUGCCCGCGUGUGGGAUCUGCAACAGCCAUUUUGCAACCAUGAAGGAUGACCUGCCACCAAAUGGGACAACCUGAGACCUCGGUGACCAGCCCCGCCUCCCUCUGGACUUCUUGCAAAGUGACAUAGUAAGGCCUGCAUUGUUUCAGCCACUUUUCAUUUGAUAAUCCAUUACUUGUAGCUAAGAGCGUUCCAGGCACUAUGCAGGGUACCCACACACCAUGGAUCUGCCCCUAUCCCUUUAAAAUCCAUCCUAUUCAUGGUAACAACAUUCUCUCUCUGUGAUGAAGCUUCAGUAAUGUCGCCUUCCUUGCCUAAAGUUGGUGGGAGUUCCUGUUGAUCUAGCAAUUUGAGCUACAAUUUCCUGGCAGGUCUGGCUUGAAAGAAGAACCUCUCAGGGGAAGCCUGC
RNAcentral lists this long non-coding RNA (1016 nucleotides) under Capra hircus (goat). RNAcentral's name for it is "lncRNA (ENSCHIG00000003624.1)". The record is from RNAcentral. Lineage: Eukaryota; Metazoa; Chordata; Mammalia; Artiodactyla; Bovidae.